RNAcentral lists this long non-coding RNA (588 nucleotides) under Solanum tuberosum (potato). RNAcentral's name for it is "long non-coding RNA (STUB_LNC006047)". The record is from RNAcentral. Lineage: Eukaryota; Viridiplantae; Streptophyta; Magnoliopsida; Solanales; Solanaceae.
UUCAAAGUAACUUGAUGAUUUUGCUCUUUGUUUUGCAAAUCUAUUAAAUACAUUGAAUUACACAUGGUCUUGGCAACUUGCCUCACAGAAAAGGAUCUUGGAGCUAUAUCAAAUCUCUUAGAGUCGAUAUGCACUUAGACAUCUUGAUUUUACUCUAUCGGGAGUACUUACUCCAUGUAUUGCUUGACGUAAAACUGAUAGUGGAUUCCUCUCGGAUGAUUUAGGUAGAUAUCCAGGUGAUGCAUCCUAGCGGCUCUAGCCACACUUGAAAAUAAUUCCAAACAACAGAUUCUUCAUCCAUGUUCCGAACCUUUGUGCAUUAGAUUUUUAAUGAGAUUAUUGUCCGUUGUUUCACAGCUAUCAGAACAAGAAGUGACAGAUUUAACCAUAAAAGUUGUAUCUAUGUAUUCAACAUCAAGACUCCAACAUGAUUAGUCCACAUUAUGAAACAGAAGAUAAAUUUAUCCCCAAAGGAAAAACAAAGUUACAAGAUGAUCAUUUAUUGAUCAAAGUCACUGAGGCAACACUUCCAAAACAACACAACAAAGGACAGAUAGCAUUUCUCGGAACACUAACCAUAUGCAUCAG